Molecule: transfer RNA, 75 nt
Filed under: Candidatus Berkelbacteria bacterium
Lineage: Bacteria; Candidatus Berkelbacteria
Description: tRNA-Ile
Rfam family: tRNA
About the family: Transfer RNA (tRNA) molecules are approximately 80 nucleotides in length.
Source: RNAcentral
GGGCUUGUAGCUCAGUGGUAGAGCAGUCGGCUUAUAUCCGACCGGUCGCAGGUUCGAUCCCUGCCGGGCCCACCA